CGUAGGGGCGAGCGUUGUCCGGAAUUAUUGGGCGUAAAGAGCGUGUAGGCGGCCUGAUAAGUCUGCUGUGAAACCUUGGGGCUCAACCCCAAGCGUGCAGUGGAUACUGUUAGGCUAGAGGAUGGUAGAGGCGAGUGGAAUUCCCGGUGUAGCGGUGAAAUGCGCAGAUAUCGGGAGGAACACCAGUAGCGAAGGCGGCUCGCUGGGGCCAUUCCUGACGCUGAGACGCGAAAGCUAGGGGAGCGAACAGGAUU
Molecule: ribosomal RNA, 254 nt
Filed under: uncultured bacterium
Lineage: Bacteria
Description: partial 16S ribosomal RNA
Rfam family: Bacterial small subunit ribosomal RNA
Source: RNAcentral